AGUCAAGCUACAAAGGGCUCACGGU
Molecule: ribosomal RNA, 25 nt
Filed under: Candidatus Synechococcus spongiarum
Lineage: Bacteria; Bacillati; Cyanobacteriota; Cyanophyceae; Synechococcales; Synechococcaceae
Description: partial 23S ribosomal RNA
Source: RNAcentral